This 73-nucleotide transfer RNA is filed under the name Alteribacillus iranensis. RNAcentral describes it as "tRNA_Thr_GGT". The record is from RNAcentral. Lineage: Bacteria; Bacillati; Bacillota; Bacilli; Caryophanales; Bacillaceae.
GCUUCCUUAGCUCAGUUGGCAGAGCGCAUCCAUGGUAAGGAUGAGGUCAGCGGUUCGAGCCCGCUAGGAAGCU